Molecule: ribosomal RNA, 487 nt
Filed under: uncultured bacterium
Lineage: Bacteria
Description: bacterial SSU rRNA
Rfam family: Bacterial small subunit ribosomal RNA
Source: RNAcentral
GAUGAACGCUAGCUACAGGCUUAACACAUGCAAGUCGAGGGGCAGCAUGGUCUUAGCUUGCUAAGGCCGAUGGCGACCGGCGCACGGGUGAGUAACACGUAUCCAACCUGCCGUCUACUCUUGGACAGCCUUCUGAAAGGAAGAUUAAUACAAGAUGGCAUCAUGAGUCCGCAUGUUCACAUGAUUAAAGGUAUUCCGGUAGACGAUGGGGAUGCGUUCCAUUAGAUAGUAGGCGGGGUAACGGCCCACCUAGUCUUCGAUGGAUAGGGGUUCUGAGAGGAAGGUCCCCCACAUUGGAACUGAGACACGGUCCAAACUCCUACGGGAGGCAGCAGUGAGGAAUAUUGGUCAAUGGGCGAGAGCCUGAACCAGCCAAGUAGCGUGAAGGAUGACUGCCCUAUGGGUUGUAAACUUCUUUUAUAAAGGAUAAAGUCGGGUAUGCAUACCCGUUUGCAUGUACUUAUGAAUAAGGAUCGGCUAACUCCGU